GCUGAGCACUCCUUUUCUACUUUUUCAGGGAAGUUGAGGCCAGUGCCUGUGUGAAGAUGUGCCUCGAUGCCAGGCCUGGACCUGGGUGGGCCCUCUGGCCUGGCUACCUGCUGUAACACCCACCAUGAAUCCAGGAGAUGGAGGCUCUCCCGUCCUGCUCUUCCUCAGAGAUAAGAAACAUGUUCAGAAGGAAGCGAGUCUCUGUGUGGCUCUGGGCACCCAAGCAUGGGGCUUCUCUGGAAGGGCAGGGAUGGCACUCUGCCUGGUGGUAGGCCAAGGGCGUGGGAAUGUAGCCCUUGCAGGGAGGGUGGGCCCUCUCCCCCACCUGGCCCUUGGGCUGAGGUGUUCUUACUAGUGGAGGGAGGCUUGAGGAACCGGUUGGGGAGAGCAAGAGCAUCUCUAGCUACCCUCCUGAGGAGGGGAGCCCUUUUAGGGCAUGUAUAUAAUGUUCCUAGGUGUACAUAAAAGUCCUUACCCUGUUAGGGGUCUGGGCUAUAUUUAUGGCUGGCAGAGGCCAGUGUGGAAGGGCUGGGUUCGGCUCAUCUGCCUGACACCAGGCACUCCCUGCCCACUGAUUCUCAACAUGUUCCUCUCCCUAAAUCCUAUUUAAGAACUUUUGGAAGCUUAGCCAUUUUUACUUAUUAAAAUGAACGUCUUUUUACACAAGCAUAA
RNAcentral lists this long non-coding RNA (672 nucleotides) under Rattus norvegicus (Norway rat). Its description in RNAcentral is "long non-coding RNA NONRATT014026". The record is from RNAcentral. Lineage: Eukaryota; Metazoa; Chordata; Mammalia; Rodentia; Muridae.